GGUGGCUUAAUAAGUCUGUUGUUAAAUCUUAGAGCUUAACUCUAAAAUGCAAUGGAUACUGUUAGGCUCGAGUAAAGUCGAAGUAGAAGGAAUUUCCAGUGAAGCGGUGAAAUGCGUAGAUAUUGGAAGGAACACCAAUGGCGAAAGCAUUCUACUAGGCUUCUACUGACACUGAGAGACGAAAGCUAGGGUAGCAAAUGGGAUUAGAUACCCCAGUAGUCCUAGCCGUAAACGAUGGAUACUAGACAUUGCGCGCAUCGAUCCGCGUGGUGUCAUAGCUAACGCGUUAAGUAUCCCGCCUGGGGAGUAUGCUCGCAAGGGUGAAACUCAAAGGAAUUGACGGGGGCCCGCACAAGCGGUGGAGCAUGUGGUUUAAUUUGAUGCAACGCGAAGAACCUUACCAGGGUUUGACAUAGUGUUAAUUCUUUGAAAGAAGAAGUGCCGCUUGCGGCAGACACAUACAGGUGGUGCAUGGCUGUCGUCAGCUCGUGUCGUGAGAUGUUGGGUUAAGUCCCGCAACGAGCGCAACCCUCGUCUUUAGUUGCUAGAAAUCUAAAGAGACUAUCGGUUAUAAACCGGAGGAAGGUGAGGAUGACGUCAAGUCAGCAUGCCCCUUAUAUCCUGGGCUACACACGUGCUACAUUGGGCUAGGACAAUGAGAUGCAAAGUCGCGAGGCAGAGCUAAUCUACAAACCUACUCUAAGUUCGGAUUGGAGGCUGCAACUCGCCUCCAUGAA
RNAcentral lists this ribosomal RNA (737 nucleotides) under uncultured marine bacterium. RNAcentral's name for it is "bacterial SSU rRNA". It matches the Rfam family "Bacterial small subunit ribosomal RNA", at positions 574 to 1324 of the family's 1533-position model. The record is from RNAcentral.